AACUAUGUCCACCAGGGAAGAUAAAAGACUGUACCUGUGAGAAAGCUCGCUAACUACGUGCCAGCAGCCGCGGUAAUACGUAGGGAGCAAGCGUAUCCGGAAUUAUUGGGUGUAAAGGGUGCGUAGACGGGAUAACAAGUUAGUUGUGAAACCCCUCGGCUCAACUGAGGAACUGCAACUAAAACUAUUAUUCUUGAGUGCAGGAGAGGAAAGUGGAAUUCCUAGUGUAGCGGUGAAAUGCGUAGAUAUUAGGAAGAACACCGGUGGCGAAGGCGACUUUCUGGACUGUAACUGACGUUGAGGCACGAAAGUGUGGGGAGCAAACAGGAUUAGAUACCCUGGUAGUCCACACUGUAAACUAUGGAUACUAGGUGUAGGAGGUAUUAAGCCUUCUGUGCCGUCGCAAACGCAGUAAGUAUCCCACCUGGGGAGUACGACCGCAAGGUUGAAACUCAAAGGAAUUGACGGGGGCCCGCACAAGCAGUGGAGUAUGUGGUUUAAUUCGAAGCAACGCGAAGAACCUUACCAGGGCUUGACAUACAAGUGAAUGGCUAAGAGAUUAGUCAGUAUUUCGGUACACUUGUACAGGUGGUGCAUGGUUGUCGUCAGCUCGUGUCGUGAGAUGUUAGGUUAAGUCCUGCAACGAGCGCAACCCCUAUACUUAGUUGCCAGCACGUAAAGGUGGGAACUCUAGGUAGACUGCCGGUGAUAAAUCGGAGGAAGGUGGGGACGACGUCAAAUCAUCAUGCCCUUUAUGUCCUGGGCUACACACGUACUACAAUGGCUAUAACAAAGAGAAGCGAGACGGAGACGUUAAGCGAAACCCAAAAAAGUAGUCUCAGUUCGGAUUGAAGGCUGAAAUUCGCCUUCAUGAAGCCGGAAUUGCUAGUAAUGGCAGGUCAGCAUACUGCCGUGAAUACGUUCCCGGGCCUUGUACACACCGCCCGUCACACCAUGAGAGUUGGGAAUACCCGAAGCCUGUGAGCUAACGAAAGAGGCAGCAGUCGA
This 1008-nucleotide ribosomal RNA is filed under the name uncultured bacterium. RNAcentral describes it as "bacterial SSU rRNA". It matches the Rfam family "Bacterial small subunit ribosomal RNA", at positions 428 to 1459 of the family's 1533-position model. The record is from RNAcentral.